This 506-nucleotide ribosomal RNA is filed under the name uncultured bacterium. RNAcentral's name for it is "partial 16S ribosomal RNA". It matches the Rfam family "Bacterial small subunit ribosomal RNA", at positions 29 to 523 of the family's 1533-position model. The record is from RNAcentral.
AGUGAACGCUGGCGGUAGGCCUAACACAUGCAAGUCGAACGGCAGCACAGGAGAGCUUGCUCUCUGGGUGGCGAGUGGCGGACGGGUGAGGAAUACAUCGGAAUCUACUCUGUCGCGGGGGAUAACGUAGGGAAACUUACGCUAAUACCGCAUACGACCUACGGGUGAAAGCAGGGGACCUUCGGGCCUUGCGCGAUUGAAUGAGCCGAUGGCGGAUUAGCUAGUUGGCGGGGUAAAGGCCCACCAAGGCGACGAUCCGUAGCUGGUCUGAGAGGAUGAUCAGCCACACUGGAACUGAGACACGGUCCAGACUCCUACGGGAGGCAGCAGUGGGGAAUAUUGGACAAUGGGCGCAAGCCUGAUCCAGCCAUACCGCGUGGGUGAAGAAGGCCUUCGGGUUGUAAAGCCCUUUUGUUGGGAAAGAAAUCCAGCUGGCUAAUACCCGGUUGGGAUGACGGUACCCAAAGAAUAAGCACCGGCUAACUUCGUGCCAGCAGCCGCCGCGG